Molecule: long non-coding RNA, 18923 nt
Filed under: Brassica napus (rape)
Lineage: Eukaryota; Viridiplantae; Streptophyta; Magnoliopsida; Brassicales; Brassicaceae
Description: long non-coding RNA (BNAP_LNC021883)
Source: RNAcentral
ACAACAACAACUGAAAACCAAAAACUGUAUAAACAAUCAAGGCCUAAGUUUCUUAGCAUUGCAUUAAAAGGGUAAAUCAAUGGUUUUUUGGCAUUUUGUUAUCUUAUUCAAUAACAUAUUUGUGGUGACUGUGUCAACAGUCAAACCUACACAACAAAGCUGAAUCCCAUGUAAGUUACUGUUGACUCAAGAAGGGCUAUAGUGGUAAGCCCACUUCCAACACCAAUCAAAUGUUAAAAAACGAACAUGAAACUAAUAUUGAGUUGUAGUUAACAUCUUGACUUCAAUCGAUUUGCCCUAGUAAAAAAAUCUACAGAUGCUAAGUCCGUUUCUCUCACUCUUUCUUACAUGAGAUACACGAUAAAAAUGCAGGCUGUGGGGUUCGAACCCACGCGCACUUAUGUGCAGAAGAACUUAAGUCUUCCCCCUUAACCUCUCGGGCAAACCUGCGCUUCUGUAAACUAAUUCAAAUCUAGCAUAUAAAACCUUAUCAGUUAGUUGUAAUUCAAAAUCAUAACAACAGGUAACAAACCUUGAACCUUCUCUCUGCAUUGUGGUUUCUUUGUUGGUUCACCACAAUUCCUGUCUAUGUAAGUAACAACAUUACAACACAGCAAUUGCAGUACAACAACAUUCCCUGGUUUUAUUUUCUCGGUUUAAGAUGUUUUACAUGAACUCUGUCAAACCUUAUGUUCUCUUCUGAAUAGGAUUUACAACAUGUAAACCCAAACUGACAAAAGAGACAACAAUAUUGUAUAAUAUGAAGCUUACAAUAAUAUAAAGAAAGAUAGUUAUUAUGCUUUAUCAGAAUCAUGUCUUUGAGCGUUUUAAGUAAACAACUACAGCUACGCUCGUUAUCACAACAGCUCCUGUAACCACAACACCACCACGCCAUGUAACCCACCCGCCACAUCCCUUUCCAUCCAGAGUACUCACUUUCUUGAGUUGACCCGUUUCCAAACCCAAGCUCCUUGUUUCUGUCUCGGUGAAGUCCAGAAACAGCCUCAGCACCUUCUGUCCUGUAGACCUAGCAAGAGCAACAGCACCAACCAAAUCACUAUCCGACGUAAUCAACACCUUAUCACCUUCAUCAUCCUCAUACACAAUCUGAGGCCUUUGUUCCUCCACAUCAAUACCGAUUCUUUGCAUCACAACACCCAUCAGCUCUUCAAGGCUUUCACCACCGGAACUAAACCGAUGCACACGGCCCUUAAGGUCUUUGACUUUGAAUGAAAACGAGUUCUCUAGCUCUAGAGAAGGGCAAGAAGUGAGCUUCCCAAUAUCUGAAUGACGAUGCAUCAUCAUCAUCCCCGACAUUUCACUAUGACCGUCCGAAUCAUGAUCAACCGGGUCCAACGCAAGAGCCGAAUCCCAAAACUUCUGCAUCAUGGUGUUAGCCACGUCGUUCACAGCUCCGGAGCUGUUCUCAACCAUCGAGAUAGCCGCGUGAGUUAUCUGCAACACGUCAACGCACGCCGCAACCGAACCGUCUUUGUCCAACACCGGAAGAUGCAAGAACCUCCCGUCGUGCAUCGUAUGCAACGCGUCGAGAAUCGUCGUCUCUAGCGACACGCAUUCGGGACUAGGCGUCAUCACUUUCUCGACAAGAAUCGUUUCAGGAGAUAAGUUUUGGACUACAAGUCGCAUAAGAAUGUCCUUAGAAGUCAGUAUCCCUUGGAUCUUGCUCCCCAUUGAGAUGAUCACAGAGUUAACGCGCAGAUCACGCAUCCUUCUCGCAGCGACGUAGACCGAAUCUGAUGGCGCAACGAGCACAACUUUGGAGCUAUCGGUGAUAAUCGUAGACAAGGCGGGCUUGAACAUCCCUUCCCUCAACGUCUCGAUGAAACCGUACCCACCAGCUCCUCCUCCAACACCUUCCACCGCUGCAGCUAAAGCACUGCCUUGCUCCGCGGCCUUCUCCAUCCUCGAGAUCGCAUCGUAUAAACACUUCGUGAUGUCUAACAUAGCAAUGACUUCGCCGUUUUCAACAACUGGCAAGUGUCUGAACCUCCCUUGAACCAUUUUUUGAAGAGCAUCUAAGGCUAAGGAGUCAGAGGUGACGAAGACAGGGUUUCUCGUCAUGACUUUGGAGACAGGAGUCUGGUCUGGUUUUAACCCUUCGGCGAUGACUCUUGAAGCUAUGUCUUUGUCUGUGCAGAUACCGGAGAGGAGGGAGCUUGAGUUGGUCAGGAGAAUGGCGCCGACGCGACGGGCAGCCAUUCUCCGACACGCGUCGAAGACGGUGGUGCCUUCGGGGAUGGUGAUGGCUUUGUCUAACCGAAGCUUCUUAACUGUUCUCUCUACGUUAGAAGGAGGUUGAGGUGAGUUUGGUAGGUUGUUGACGAAGCUUCCGUGGUGCUCUGAUUGGUCUGGUUUCUUGGAAGGUAGUGGUGGUGGUCCUCUCCUCCUCCCUGAUGUUGACGAAGUCCCUGUCGCUUGAGUGCUCAUAUCGAUCGAUCUAAGGCUUGCAAGAAGAAUUAAUAAAAAAAUAUAUCAAAUCAAAUGCACAAAUCUGAAUAUAAAUCCAACUUUUAACAUUUUACCGAAAAAAAGAUCUGAAUAAAUCUGAUGCAAUGAGGAUGAUCAAUCCGAUGAUAAUAACAUGCAUACAUACAUAAACACGAGCAAUUAAAUCAGGUCGGAACAGGAUUUAUGUGAAAUGAUGAUGGACAAAACUUGAGACGCAAGAAUGGGAUUAGGGUUAGGGUUUACCUUUCUUGGAGAACUUGUCUAGCUUCUCUCUGGUUUGUUGUUCCACGGCUUUCAGCAAAUGUCUUUUAGCCAUUUUAUCAUGUUCCGCGGCGAAUGUGAGGAGGUGGUCUUCUUCUCCUUCUUAUUUAAUUUAGUCAAACUAUAUUAAAUCUGAUAAUUAAGAAAUCAAGAACUAAUGAUGUAUUUCCCGUAAAAGAAAAAAAAAUAUUCAGUGAAAUUAAUUUUUGCAUGUGGCAUGGAUUAGGCGGAAAAUGGUCAAAUAAUAAUACAAAAACAUAAUUGACAAGUAUUGUACUACGUGUGCAAGCAUGUUACUGGAAGGUUGCUUCUAGGCAUUUGACCCCAUGUCACUUGACAGAAUCACGGUAAAACCCUCUAUCAACUAAUUUUAAUAUAUUAUAAAAUUUAUAUAUUUAAUUUUAUCUAAAAUAAAUUAUCAAAAUUUUGAUAUAUUGACAAAAUUUAUAUAUUCAUAAAAUAUAAAUAUGUGUUAAUAGAACUAAUAAUACAAUUUUUUUAAAAAAAUUGUAAAAUUAUAAAUAAAUAUAAUUAUGAAGAAAAACAGAAUAUUUAUUUUUAUUUAUAUAAAUUUUAAUUUAUGAUACUAAUGAAAUUUAUUUACAUAAAUUAUUCUAAUAUUAAAAUUUGUGUUUAUUAUUUUAUCAAAUAUUAAUCAAAAAUAAAUACUCAUUCCGUUUCAUUUUAAUUGUCGUUCUAGGUUUAUGCACACAGAUUAAUAAAACAUAUGAUUUUGUAUAUUUCCAAAAGAAAAACACAAUUACCUAUACAACUAAUCAUAUUUCAACCAAUAAAAUAAAAAAAUAAAGUAGAGAAUCUUAAUACUAAAUUUUGCAUUGAAACUAUAAAACGACAUUUAUUUUGAAAUGAAAAUUUUUCUUCAGAACGACAAUUAAAUCGAAACGGAGUGAGUAUAUUAUAGCAGUUCAUGCUCAACACAAUGUUUCGUUUACGGAUCUGUUCGUGUGAAAUUAAGGUUAUGAACGAGGAGGGCAGGAGAGAGACAGAUCAUAUGUGUUGCAUGAAAACUGCAUUUUAACUCUCAUUCACUAUUUUUUGUUUUAAAAUUUGUUUUGCAGGAGAUCUGCAUGCAGAUCAGAUUUUUUUGUUUUUUUCUGAAAAAAAGACAGAUCUCCUACAUGCAGUUUUGUCUACUAGCAUUUGGUGGUGGUUCACUCAUUUUUUUUUCCUCUGACCAAUAAAUGAUUUUAUUACAAAGUAAUAAUAUAAUUAAUAUUCUUAUAUAAAAAAACACAUUUUCAUUCUAUUUAACUUACAACUUUUACAAUACAAAAAUUUUAAUUGUCUACUUAUUUUUUUAUUUUUGUUAGAACAUUUAUCUAAAAUUAAUAGAACUAAUAAUACAAUUUUUUUAAAAAAAUUGUAAAAUUAUAAAUAAAUAUAAUUAUGAAGAAAAACAGAAUAUUUAUUUUUAUUUAUAUAAAUUUUAAUUUAUGAUACUAAUGAAAUUUAUUUACAUAAAUUAUUCUAAUAUUAAAAUUUGUGUUUAUUAUUUUAUCAAAUAUUAAUCAAAAAUAAAUACUCAUUCCGUUUCAUUUUAAUUGUCGUUCUAGGUUUAUGCACACAGAUUAAUAAAACAUAUGAUUUUGUAUAUUUCCAAAAGAAAAACACAAUUACCUAUACAACUAAUCAUAUUUCAACCAAUAAAAUAAAAAAAUAAAGUAGAGAAUCUUAAUACUAAAUUUUGCAUUGAAACUAUAAAACGACAUUUAUUUUGAAAUGAAAAUUUUUCUUCAGAACGACAAUUAAAUCGAAACGGAGUGAGUAUAUUAUAGCAGUUCAUGCUCAACACAAUGUUUCGUUUACGGAUCUGUUCGUGUGAAAUUAAGGUUAUGAACGAGGAGGGCAGGAGAGAGACAGAUCAUAUGUGUUGCAUGAAAACUGCAUUUUAACUCUCAUUCACUAUUUUUUGUUUUAAAAUUUGUUUUGCAGGAGAUCUGCAUGCAGAUCAGAUUUUUUUGUUUUUUUCUGAAAAAAAGACAGAUCUCCUACAUGCAGUUUUGUCUACUAGCAUUUGGUGGUGGUUCACUCAUUUUUUUUUCCUCUGACCAAUAAAUGAUUUUAUUACAAAGUAAUAAUAUAAUUAAUAUUCUUAUAUAAAAAAACACAUUUUCAUUCUAUUUAACUUACAACUUUUACAAUACAAAAAUUUUAAUUGUCUACUUAUUUUUUUAUUUUUGUUAGAACAUUUAUCUAAAAUAUUUAUAUGAUGUGUGCGUUUUUUAAUUAUGUAAAUGUAUAAUAUUGUACUUAAAUAUAUAUAUAUAUUAAUGGAAGAUAGACACAAUUUGGUCAAUUACUAACAUUUUCAUAAUUUAAUUUUAAAAAUACAGUUUCAUAAUUUUAAUGCAAUAUUUAUUGUUAUUUAUGUAUUGUAUUUAUAUAUUAUGUAUUUUAUUUUAAUUUUAUUAUUUAAAUAUAUACUCUAUUUUUAAAUUGUUUUUCUCAUUAUAAACGGUAAUCAGACGUUAAAAUUGUAACCUGAUUCGAUAUCAAAAUCAUGUAUUUUUAAAUUCAAGUAAAAAAUUACAGUUCAUUAAAAACCAUAAAAUUUUGAAAUCACAAGACAAUAAGCUUCAUUUUCCAGUUUAUAAUUGGACAAGAGAUAUUAGAGAAUGAAGUAAGAAGUUUGAAGCAAUUGAAUUCCAGUGGAUCAACUGAAGAUCAAAAAAGGCCGCAGAUAAGCUGGCAACUUCAAAUCCAAACCGAGAUUCAUUUUUAUUUCAUUACUAUGUACCAAACAACAUAACAAGUCUUCUUCAAGAAUAUUAUGUACUAUCCCAUUUAAAUUAAUGAAAUAAGUUGAUAUAAAAAAAAUUCAUAUCUUUCUAAUAUCUGUCUAAAUAAAUAGGUUUUCGUCGUAUUUUAUAUUAUUUAAUUUAAUUUUUUUCUAUUUUCAUAUCAUUUUAGAUUCUAACAAUGAUAUAAAACUAUAUCAAAAUAAUUUAUAGUUAUACUUAUAUAUAUAGUUACUUAAUUUAAAAUGAAAUUAAAAUUUUAAAUCCGGUUAGAUCCGUUUGAUCAUUGAUCAGAGUAUAAUAAUUAUAAUAAGCUGUUUGAUCUGUACUUGAUCAGCAUGAUCUGCUUUGAGCUUGAACUGAACUGCUUUUACCAUUUGAACUCUAAGAGUACAAAGAGUACAAGGGUUGUUUUAAAAUUAGUCUCUAAUUAAACAAUUGAACUGAUUAGAGUCUCAGUCCACGGAGCUUACACGAUACAAUCGAUUUCGGAUGCUUCGUCUUCUUCGUUGAAUUCACAAUGCUAGAUAUGGAUCUCCGUCUUCUUCUACCAUCUCUCAUUCCCUCAUCGCAAUCCGUAAGCUAUCUCUUUGUACCUUUUUGAUUCAACGUCGCAUUGAUCAAUUCGUAUUUAGGUUUACGUGCUGGUGUUUUACUUCGUUUACUUGGCCGUCGCUGGAGAAAUCCUCCCCGGAAAAUUAAUCAGCGGCUCGUUUUAUCAGAUGGCUCACAGCUUCGUUACCGAUGCAAUGGUUAUUUCAUCUUUUUCUACUCUUGAAGCUUUUCCUGAGAGAUUAUCUGAGCUCAAAAGAUUAUUUUCAGGUCUAUUCGACAUUGUUGAUUGCUAUAUAGGGAAUCUCUGCAAAAACUCGGCAGUGUAUCACCUCUUGUAAGUCUUUAUACACAUUAUCUGAUCAUCAUCAAGAAGAAGAGAUGCACUUUGUGUUUCUAUGAAUCCGAAUGAUAUAGUUUUCUUUUGAUUAGGUUGUUGCUGAUUGAGGACUUGAGCUACUCUCUGCUUAAUUUGAUCUUCUGUGUUUUGGUAAAGAUUGUUUCAUCCUUAUUGUGGUUUUUCGUUUGGAUCUUGUUCCUGUUACCUCAGUAUAUCAGAUUUGUGCCUCUUAGUUUGUUGAUUUGCUUUUUGAUAUUCUCAGGUGACAUUUGUGUUAUAUAUUACUACUGGGCGCAGUUCCUCGGAUAAGAGUUCUUCUUUAAAGCCUCAUGUCUCAGGAAAUCUUGUACAUGACUGGUACUAACUUAUACUAUACAUGUAUACAUCUCUCUUUUCUUAUCCCACAAACCCUUGUGUUAGAUUUUUGUAUUUUCUUACUCUAGCAACAGCUAAACUAAGGAACAAUCCAUAGUCUAGUAAACUAUAAAGUAUGAAACAACGAUUAUAAAUGUUGAGUUACUCCUCGAAAGACUGAAGAUGUCUCUUUGAUUUUUUUUUUUCACAGAUGAGACAUCAUUGCAGAGAGGUUGGGCUUCAUGCUAGUGUUUGGAGAUCUCCUGUGGAUUCCUUUCACUUCACUUUUAGCAUUCAGGCAUGUAACUGCGUGCUUGAUAACAAAUAGUAUAUACAUAAAAUUUCAUCUUAUGGACAGUGUCUUAUUGGCAUGUAAACAGUUGUUUUGAAUUGAUCACUCUGUGACUCAAUUGUCUUCAUUUUGGUACAGGGAUGGUGGCUUUUGCACUACAAAGUAGAACUAACAGUUCCUGCUAUAGUAGCCAAUUGCUUUGUGUUCUUGAUAGGGUAAUUUUGUGUCAUUGAGUUAUCAUACAUUAUUUGAGACUAAACAAAGAAGCCUACAUUAUUAUUUUCCUGGCAGGUAAAUGGUUUUUAGAGGGGUUAACAAACAAAAACAUAUCUCUAAGAACCCUAAAACACCUAUAUGGGGUAAGCCUCCAGUGUGGAAAGUUGCUUGCUUCAGGCUAUUGGUAUGGUCUUCUUUUUUUCUCAUUAUCUAGUUUCUUUGCUUGGUUUUCACCGUCUAUGUUCACUAUUCAUCAUAUUGUUAGUGGUAAACAAUGCAAAGGUUGUUUUAAAAAUAUUACGGGGGAAUCGCAAGCACUGUAGUUACCUUGGCGACUUGAUGCUUGCUCCGUCGUUCAGUUUGCCCUGUGGAAUAAGUAACUUGUUCUGCUUGAGUUCAUCAUCUUACAAAUACCAAAUUCAUGUUAGAAACUACUUGCCAUGAUCAAAACUUUUAAAGUGAAAAAAAAAACUUUUAAAGUGAAGAGUCCCAAACAAUGAUUUUGGCUAAGAUUUAGAUGUUGAUCUGAAACCUGAGAUUAUAAUUGGUGGUGGCUGAGAUUGUCUUAUCUUUAAAGACUGCCAUUUGAAACUUUCAAAGCUUUCAAAUGUAUUGUCUGAUCAUCACGUAGACAAAAAUAAUCUGGGUUGUUUCUAUUAUGUUGUUCUUGUCUACUGUCACUCAGCUCACGGGGUUCCAUAUUUCUACCCGAUAUACCUUUUGAUACUGUUUAUGGGUUUGUGAAUUGUACAUUUCACUAAGCUCUAGGCUUUCAUUAAGCUAAUUAGCUAAACCACUCGGGUUUAUUUAUGAUUAUAUAUUUAAAUUACAAAUAAAAUUUUAUUUGAGUGUUUUUGGCCUUUUUGGUUUGGCUCUUUUNNNNNNNNNNNNNNNNNNNNNNNNNNNNNNNNNNNNNNNNNNNNNNNNNNNNNNNNNNNNNNNNNNNNNNNNNNNNNNNNNNNNNNNNNNNNNNNNNNNNNNNNNNNNNNNUCCCUAUAUCUAUCCACUUAGAGUAUUUUUUUUAGUCAACUCUCUUGUCAAUUAAAAAAUUGUCAACAUGAAGGUACUCCGAAAUUGCCGAGCCUUUGAAUAUUCCCAUUGCCUUUUGUCUUCAGUCUUGCGUUUAGGGAAUACAAAUUUCUUGUCUAAUAAUCCUUUCUUCAUUUAUCUCUGCGUUUCAGAUGGCGUCUUCUUCUUCUUCUUCUCGAGCGAUCAGUCCACACGAUCUCUUCCUCAGCUUCAGAGGAAAAGACGUCCGCAAAAAAUUCCGUACCCACUUUUUCAAGGAGCUCGAACGCAAGAUAAUCCCCUUCAAGGACGAGGAGAUGAAAAAAGGCCAAUCUAUUUCACCUGAGCUUAUCAAGGCCAUAGAAGGAUCCAGGAUCUCUGUUGUAGUGCUUUCCCACAACUUUGCAAAUUCAAGCUGGUGCUUGGAUGAAUUGGUGGAGAUCAUGAGGUGCAGAGUUGAACUAGGCCUCAUCGUGAUACCUAUUUUCUACGAAGUGAAUCCUUCUCAUGUCAGAAAACAAUCCGGCGACUUCGGAGAGAUCUUCGAAGAGACUUGCAAAGGCAGAACGGAGGAAGAUAAACUUCGCAGCAAUCAUAGCCGGGGAGGAUUCCAGCACUUGGUACUUGCCUAAUUUUUAUUCUCUUGCUGUCUUUUCAAGAUCCCUUAGUAUCUAGUUUUGUGUGUUGUAAUAAUUGUGUUAUCAAUCUUUGCUAGGUCUGACGAAGCAAAGAUGAUUGAGAAAAUUGUCAACGAUGUUUCUAACAAACUGAUUUCCACAUCAUCCACUGAUUUUGCUGACUUUGUUGGAAUUGAGGAUCACAUCAAAAACAUGAAUUCGUUGUUGGAUUUGGAGUCAGAGGAAGUGAUAAUGGUAGGGGUUUGGGGUCCAUCUGGAGUUGGUAAGACUACCAUCGCUCAAUACAUUUUAUUUAAGCAUGUCCAUCUCUGGUAAUUGUUAAAAUUUAUGGUUUUCAGGGUACUCCAAGUGUUUUGGGCAUAUUUUUGAACUUAUCUGAAAUCAAGGAUACAUUUAACAUUAGUAAAAAAGCAUUCAGGAAGAUGAGAAACCUUCGGUUUCUAAGCAUCUACGGGGUCUUACGGGAGGAUGUACAAGUUAUACUGCCUUUACAAGAUGGUAAAGAACAUAUGUGGCGCCAACUUAGAUUACUGGAAUGGUGGGGUUGCUCAAUGAGAUGUAUGCCUUCUAACUUUCGUCCGGAAAAUCUCAUUGAACUUAGAAUGCCAGAUAGUCACCUUGAGACAUUGUGGGAUGGAGCUCAGGUAAGGUAUCUGGUCUUAUUGAAAACAAUACAUUAUAUAUGUUCAUUGUGCUUUAUAAUAUAUUGGAGAAAUAGUUGUUAAAGUUUGGUAAAGCAAACAAAACUUUUAAAUGCUAUCUUUCUGGAAAAAAACAUAUUUUAUGUUGACCUGCAAACUUUCUUUACGACAUGUUUGUUUGUUUGUUUGGCAUAUUGUAAGUUAACCUUGACUUUUUAUUGUGCUGUGAUCAGCUGCUUAGAAGCCUCAAGAAGAUGGAUCUGCGGAGAUCUAAAAAGCUGAAAGAAAUCCCAGAUCUUUCAAAGGCCACAAAUCUCGAGGAAUUGUAUCUUGAAGAUUGCUGGAGUCUGGUGAUGAUUCCUCCCUCUUUUGAGAAUCUCAACAGACUCAGGAAACUAGACAUGAAAAGAUGCAAAAAUCUUCGAAUUCUUCCAGAGAACAUCCACUUGGAAUCCCUUCAUUCCCUCAAUUUCAGUGGAUGCUCAAAGUUGACAAGUUUUCCUCAGAUUUCAAGGAAUGUUUCUCAUCUCUUUCUAGAUGAAACAAAGAUUGUAGAAGUUCCUAGGAGGAUAAAAGAUAUCUCCGGGCUCAAUUUUAUUUUGAUUACUGGUUGCAGAAACUUAAGAUAUAUAUCUCCAAUCAUUUCAAAAAUGAAACAUCUUGAGGUGAUGUUCUUUUCAAACAGUGAUGCUUUAGUUGAAGCAAGUUGGUUCCAAGUGCAGUGGCAACGACAACAAACAACCUUCACACUGACUUACCAGAUUCUUCUCCCUCGGGCAAUUGGCUGUACGAUGUCUUCUUAAGCUUUCGUGGAAAAGAUGUUCGCAAAGGUUUUCUGAGCCACAUGAUCAUGAAAUUCAAAAGCAAAGGAAUCAAUAAAUAUAUGGAUGAUGACAUCACUAUGAGCCUGUCCGCUGUGUUUGAACACGGGAUAAGAAAAUCAAGAAUCGCUAUAGUCGUGCUUUCAGAAAAUUACGCGUCUUCGAGAUGGUGCUUGGAUGAGUUGGUAGAGAUCAUUAGGUGCAGCAAAGAGAUUGGUCAAAAAGUGAUCCCCAUUUAUUAUGGUGUGGAUCCUGUUCAUAUCAGGAGGCAGAUCCAAGACACAUUCGACAAGAGGAAUACAGUGGACCAGCAGCAAAAAUGGUUACAAGCUCUUACUGUACUAAACCAACUUCACGGAUAUCACAUCAACAACUCGUAAGUUAAUGAACUAUUUACAACUUGCUUUGACUUUAAAAAUUCUAUAGUUAAAUAUCUUCACGGAUGUUCAUUUCUUCAUAGUAUUUACUCCAUUUUUGUUGUGUGAUCAUCUUUCUUCCUUUCAGGAUUUCCGAAGCAGAGAUGAUUGGAAAAAUAACUGUUGAUAUAUUGUUUGCACUAACUAUUAGACCAGAAAUGGUUCCCGUGAUUCCAGGCCAGGAAACUGAGAAAUCGUUAACACUGCAGUACAAUGGUCUAAAUGGGAAUGAGAAAAUGUUGUUUGAAGACAGUGAACUGGAUGUUGUCGGAAGAGAGAGUUAUAAGUAUGAACCAUGUGAAGCAAAAGAUAGGCAGAGAUCUAGUUCUUGGACCAUUCACUGGCCAGUCUGCAUAUCGUCAGUUCCUGGAGGAUAGUAGCGAGGGUUUCAACGUACUUAUUGAUCAAACUGUAAGUUCUUUUUUUUUUUGUAUUAGCAUCAGUAUAUGUGUGUUUUAAGCUACUACUGAUUUGUCCCUCUUAAAAUAUUCUUUCAGGGUACUGAAAAUGUGUUUGGCAUCUCGUUUAAAAUAUCAGAAAUGGAAGAUAGAUUGGGAAGAGAUGAAAGAUUGAAAGGAAUGAAAAAGCUGCAGUUUAAGAGAGAGUACAAGGAGAGAUUGUACGGUAAAGAAGUCAGAGUUCAUUUAGUUAAAGGCCUCCACUCAUUGUGGGAACGCCUUAGUAAUAUUUGAUGGGUAAGAAGAGUAUUCACUCAAUAAGAUGCUAUUAUCGGCUUAUGUCCAUUUAGGGAUAGGAUUUUAUUGAUUAUAUGUAAAACUUUUACUGUCAAGUUUAAUAUUGUUUUUUUCUGCAACCACUUAUCUAUACUCUUUUCAUGUUGAAUCACAGACAUUUUGGCCUACAUUGUAUGUGCCGGUGUCGUCUGUCAUCUGAAGAAGCAGAGAGGUGUUGCUCUGUUUGUCGACAAAGGCAGAGUAGUAGGCCUCUAACAGAUGUUGCAUCAGAAGUCAAAGUGGAUGGAAAUGCUUUUUUUUUUUUUUUUUUGGUCAACGAAAAUUGCAUUACUAAAAAGGAUCAGCCUGCCCAUUCUCAGCCCUUGGAAGAUAGAAAAAGUCUAGAUCGACAAACAGAGAAAAGAAAGCUUCGAUAUCUGAACUUGGUCUUCAUUCCUCGCCAACUCCAACAAUGUAUUGUGAUAAUACCGGAAGUAUUUCUUUUUUUUUUAUAUAAAGAAUACCGGAAGUAUUUCAUUGAUAAGACUUAGGGGAAUUAUACAAGGGCCAACUUAGAGGACCACACCACGAAGUUGUUCUUGGAAACACAGAAGUUGUUCUUGGAUUCUAUUAAGUUCCUCCACAUUUCCUCAAUAAACAAAACAAAAAAACAUGUUUGGUUUUUUGUUAGAGACAUCAUCUAUUGUAUUCCCCUAAAAAGAGAAAACUUUAGGCGAAAGUGGAAACAAUUGCCCUUGCCUAAGUUAGAUUUGCAGACUGAUCAGAAACGUGGUGUGACUGAUGUCAUACCUACAAGUCAGAGAAAUAUUGACACUUAACCUGAUUAUGUAAAAAAAAAAAGAGUACUGCGUAGUUUUUCUUUAUUUGACGGAAAAAACGAAACUGGGGAAAAAUUCUGAGGUUUUGUUCGAGAUGUUGUGACCUUACCGUUUGGGGGAAUUUCGUUUUCUUUCAUGAACUCGAUGUAAUGUUUUCUUUCGAGAGUUCCACGGCUCUCAAAACAUUUAUCUUCUGGAUUUGAUAUAAGAAAGCACACCCUAUAAAUAUAUAUAUAUAUAUAUAUGUAUAAACAAGAGAAAAGGACAAAAAUAGCACUAAAUGAAGUUUUUGUUCUCAAACUAGCACUCAAGAUCAAAAGUGACAAAAAUAGCAUUUAAUGUUUUAUCAAAAGUCACAAACUUAGGGUUUGGAGUUAAAGGGUGGGGUUUAGGAUUUACGGUUUAGGGUUUAGGGUUUAGGGUUUAGGGUUUAGAGUUUAGGGUUGAGAAAUGAGGUUUUGGGGAUAAGAUUUCAAAUUUUGAAAAAUAAAAAAAUUAAAAUUUUCAAAGGAUAAACUUAGAAAUGUGCUAUUUUGGUCAUUUUAGUUUUGGAAUGCUAUUUUUGUGAUAUAAACUUAGAAAUGUGCUAUUUUGGAGAUUUGCCCUAUAUAUUUGCUGAGAAACUAUAAUUAUUAGACUUUUUCCUAUUGCUGUCACAAUUAGAUUUUUUUUUAGUCCGGGACCUAAAGGACGUUUUUAGAUCUUCUUACAUUUCAUGUUCUUUGAUGCUAUCACCAUCUGUUUAUUUUCUCCAUCUUCAGAUAUUCCGGAACAUGGUAUCCAUGAAAACAAGAAAGAAGCUUGUGUUUAUAAGCUUUGUUUGGAUGGUGAUGAUUAACAUCAUCAUUACCAUCUUCAAAUGUAAAGUUGUUUAAAUUAAAUCAACUCUUUUUGUCUCCCCUAAGUAAUUUUGAACACAAUCACCAAUGCCACAUUAACACUAAUAAACUUAAACUGGCUUACAAUAGUAGGCUAACCAAGACCUUGGUUUGAAGAACACAAACUCAAUCCAACAUCUUGGUUUGAUGAAAACUGAAGCACAGUUCCGUGGAAAAUACGUCUAAAAUUAGAAGCAAGAGACUGAAGAGACAGAGAGAGGGUAAGAGAAGCUGUUAGCAUACUGAAAGGAGAGUGUCUGUCCAGGAGAAAGAGGUUGACCAUCAUUGACCAGACAAUCAUCGUAGGAGAGUCGCCUGAAAACUCUAGGGUUAACCAGUCUGACCGAGCUGAACCAGCCACAACUGACGUGGAUCUCCGCAACGCUGCAAUCAGAGGCACAUGCGUUUAAAAAAAGUCGAGGUCGUCGUAAGCUGGGGAUCCAACAGAAGGAGUAAGCCUGCCUGCAUAUAUAUAUAUAUCCAAAGUAAUUUAGUAUAUGACAAAAGAACUUAAGAAAUAAAACUAAAAGAUAUUACUUUUCAAAUCUGAAAUCAAGAAGAACCAAACUUAAUAGCGUGACAUCCUCCUAGUAGAGCCACCGCAACAACUGAUACAACCAAGUAGAAAGAAAAUGCUCAAUAACGCGUGAAAUCAGAUUUUACAAUCGAUAUGCACAUUAUUUAAUAAAUAAAAACAAUUGCGAAAUCUAAAGAUUUUUUUUUUUUUUUUUUUGGUCAACGAAAAUUGCAUUACUAAAAAGGAUCAGCCUGCCCAUUCUCAGCCCUUGGAAGAUAGAAAAAGUCUAGAUCGACAAACAGAGAAAAGAAAGCUUCGAUAUCUGAACUUGGUCUUCAUUCCUCGCCAACUCCAACAAUGUAUUGUGAUAAUACCGGAAGUAUUUCUUUUUUUUUUAUAUAAAGAAUACCGGAAGUAUUUCAUUGAUAAGACUUAGGGGAAUUAUACAAGGGCCAACUUAGAGGACCACACCACGAAGUUGUUCUUGGAAACACAGAAGUUGUUCUUGGAUUCUAUUAAGUUCCUCCACAUUUCCUCAAUAAACAAAACAAAAAAACAUGUUUGGUUUUUUGUUAGAGACAUCAUCUAUUGUAUUCCCCUAAAAAGAGAAAACUUUAGGCGAAAGUGGAAACAAUUGCCCUUGCCUAAGUUAGAUUUGCAGACUGAUCAGAAACGUGGUGUGACUGAUGUCAUACCUACAAGUCAGAGAAAUAUUGACACUUAACCUGAUUAUGUAAAAAAAAAAAGAGUACUGCGUAGUUUUUCUUUAUUUGACGGAAAAAACGAAACUGGGGAAAAAUUCUGAGGUUUUGUUCGAGAUGUUGUGACCUUACCGUUUGGGGGAAUUUCGUUUUCUUUCAUGAACUCGAUGUAAUGUUUUCUUUCGAGAGUUCCACGGCUCUCAAAACAUUUAUCUUCUGGAUUUGAUAUAAGAAAGCACACCCUAUAAAUAUAUAUAUAUAUAUAUAUGUAUAAACAAGAGAAAAGGACAAAAAUAGCACUAAAUGAAGUUUUUGUUCUCAAACUAGCACUCAAGAUCAAAAGUGACAAAAAUAGCAUUUAAUGUUUUAUCAAAAGUCACAAACUUAGGGUUUGGAGUUAAAGGGUGGGGUUUAGGAUUUACGGUUUAGGGUUUAGGGUUUAGGGUUUAGGGUUUAGAGUUUAGGGUUGAGAAAUGAGGUUUUGGGGAUAAGAUUUCAAAUUUUGAAAAAUAAAAAAAUUAAAAUUUUCAAAGGAUAAACUUAGAAAUGUGCUAUUUUGGUCAUUUUAGUUUUGGAAUGCUAUUUUUGUGAUAUAAACUUAGAAAUGUGCUAUUUUGGAGAUUUGCCCUAUAAACAAUGUUCUUCAAAUGAAAAGAAAAAAAGAAACUGAAUAUAUAGCCUGUGUCAAAGAAGAAAACAGCGUGUUCAAAGCAAAAGCAAACGACUCAUGCCAUUCCAGCUAAGAGUGUCAUUAAGCCGAAUUAAGUACUUAAACAGUAGAAGGAUUCGUAAGAUUCGCAUGGAAAUGUAAGCUCAUCGACACACUCAAUCUUUCCCCAAAUUAAUCUCACGUCCAUUGCUACUUCUUUCCAAAGAAAUCUUAGCAUACCAAAUCUUGUUUUUCGGUUGGAUAUCAGAAUAUACCCACAUAACCAUAAGCUUCCCACCAUAGUCCUCCACUGCAAACUCACUUGCACUUCUUAAACAACAGUCAUCUAGUAAUCUUCGCAAACCCUUGAUUUCUCUCCAUUCUCUACCCUCAUGAUCCUCAGAGUCACACCAGAUUAAGUCUCCAUAGUAAGUGCAACAGUAUAAUACAUCCUUUAUCCAAAUUGUAGCCCCUUCUAGUUCUAUGGAAUCUGACUGCCCUCUUAAAAGUUUCCAUGUACCAUAUUUCGGCUCGUACGUGUACUCCCUUUCAUUUAUCACUACGAAAAACUUUUCGUCUAUCACAUUAACUAAAUCAUAAUUAUUUUCUGUUAAAAGAAUGCGUAACUCAGCACCAGGCCCCGGCAAGACUGUCCAAGACUGAGUCUUCGUAUCAAACACCUCAAACAGUCUAGCAGAGUACUCGUCAAUCUUACAACCUCCCAUCACAUAUAUUUUACCAUGGUCAGUAAAAACGCAUGGAUCCUCCCGAGCCGCGGUCAUGUUAGGACCGUUACGCCAAGUAUGACUUCGACAAUCAAGGAUCCAUACAGAGGAAGAAGGCUCCUCGCGGGGUCCACCGAUUGAGUAGAUUUCCGGACCAACCGUUACGGUGGACUGACUUGUUAUGCGAGGAGAAUGGAUGGGUGUCGGAACAACCGAGUUUCCAGUUGGAUCCUUCUUAAACCUAAUCUUUCCUCUCUGUUUGGUUAUGGUUUGAUUAUUAGGUUUAGCCCAAACACUAAACCAGCUCGGAUAUGGUUGAUUGUGUAACUGUAGGCAGACAUAUACGCAAGUUUCUUCGGUUCCGAUUUGAGAUCGCGUCUUAUAGAUUUGCAUAGAAGAUAAGAGAGAGCGGAAGCUCUUUGAGACGAGAGAAAGCCAAGGAUAGUUCCACCUCGAAACACGGGCAAGAAUGUUUUCUGUGAUUUCAUCCGGAAGUGAAGAAAACAAUGACAGUGGCUGGCAAAUCUUUUCCUUCUUUGGUUCAACUUCUUCGAAGGUCAUGAUCAUGGUCAAUUGCUGUGGAGAAAAAAUAGGAUAAAUUUUAGGGUUUAUUAAAUCACGAUUAGGUCUGUAGAAAAUCUAACGCCUAUUUAGUGUUUGGUAUCCAAAUAGGAAAACUCUAUAAAUUAAUAAUUUUAAUAAUAAAUUAGAAAAAUUUCCUUUUUCGAAUUUAUAUAUUUUAAAUUACUUUAUAGGAAACUAUAUUUUACAUAUACAAAUUUUAUGUUAUUUUUAUUCGACUAUUCGAUGUAUAGAAUAUAUAUACCGUAAAAGUAAAUUAAGUCUUAGAUUUAAAAUAGUAAAAUGACACCAAUAUAUUUAAAAAAAUUAAAAUUAAAUUUAAUGUGAAUAAAAAAAUAAAUUAUCCAAUUUUUUUAUUUUUUAUAAAUUUUAUAUACAUUAAUUAUUUGUAAAAAAUAGUUUAAUCCACGAAGAAUUGAGUGAAAUAGGACGAGUUUGAUCUGUGUUUGUGUUUCCAGCAUUACUGUUGAUGUAUAAAGAUUAUCAUGACUAGCAUAGAUGAUAUUGACAAAAACACUAUAGAUAUUUUUUUCUUUUUGAUUGUAAAAUUGAAAAUAACUAUAACAGUUAUAUAUUGGUUUAAAGAAUAUUUUAUUAAGUUGUUUUCUUUUAACUUAAAUUGAUUUAUAAGGGUCUAACCACUCCAAAAACAACUUCAAAAUUUUAAAUUUUAUAAUAGAAGAUUUCACCGUACAAACUUUAUAUUUAAAGUUUCUUACUUUUCUAGUUCUUUUAAUUGUGUAACUUUCAAAUAAUGUUAAUAACUUUCUUGUUUAAUCUUUUUAAUACAAAAAUAUUUAAUUAGUACUACAACAACUAUCAUACAAAGAUUAAAUAAUGUUACUACAUGAUAUAAUAACAAUGUGCAUUAUUAUGCAUAACAUAAUUAUUGGAAAUGAAUAUGAUAUCAACGCACCAAUUAGAAAUGCUAGAUCGAGUUGAAAUGGAAAUAAAUAAAAAAGCUCGUAUACAAAACUUUUUAACUCGUAGUCGAAGAAAACUCAUUUAUCACUUGAAAAUAUCUUAAUUGAUCAUAAGUAGAAUUAUUGUAGGGGUAAAUUAUAAUGAAAUAUUAUAUAAUUUAGUUAAAUUUAAUGAAUUAUUUUGUAUGUUUUUAUUUACAUACAAUAUUUUACUAUAAUAUAAUAUUUUAUUAAUUAAUUUUUGUUUAUAAUACUUUUGUUGCAUAUUUUAUAGUUAUUAUAAAAGAUUUAUGCUUUUAGUUGGGUUUUAUUAAAUAUGACGGACUAUUAUGUAAAAUAUAAAAAAUUUAAAGCUUUAUAUUUUGAUUUUAGAGAAAAACACCAUCGUACCUUUUAUUUAAGAUUUUGCCAAGCCUGAGUUAAAUUCUACUGCACUUAACGGCAGCAACAUCUACGGUCAUAAAUUUUUGGCACCAACUGCUCAACAAAAAAUCUUCGAUCUUAAUUUUAUAGAAAAGAAAAAAUCUAAAGCUAAUAAGGAUACAGGCCCAUUUAAGAACAUUAGGCCCAAUAAACGACGGAGCCUUCUAGGUCCCGUACUUUGUCUACUCACCAUCCCGAAAAGUCACAAUCCUGAGUUACUCACAGACCAAACACACACACAACAUUACAUUUGAACCACUAAAUCACACUUAUCUAUCACACAAUGGCGACCUCUCUCUCCGUCUCCAGACUCAUCUCUUCAUCCGCCAUCUCCGUCGCCAAACCGCUACUCUCCCCAACCUCCGCCUUCACCGCCCCAAUCUCCUUCUCCCGCUCCCUCGCUCCCAACCUCUCCUUCAAAUCCCACAGCAGACCCAAAAGUCAUUGACUUUCGGAAAUGACGUUAGGUUGUUGGGUAGCCGAUACAUACUUGGUAUAAUUGCUUCCUUAGAAAUCAGCUAUGCAUAUCUCAUAUUCAUUUCUUUAAAUCAGAUGCUGCAUCAUAUUCUGAAUCGAAAUUCUCAAUUCUAAUUAUAAUCAAACUAGUAAUCAAUAGAGAGCAUACAAAACUCUUCAAAAAAAUUAUAACGUAUCAACAACACACAUUCCCCCAUAUAGUAAUUUGAGAGGAUACAGAAAUAAAAGUAAACACAAUCGCUUGUGUUUACUUUGCAACCAAAGUUUCACUACAAAAUCACCUGCUAGCUCUGUGUAUGUUAGGUAUCGUGAUGCACGUAAAAUCGCAUGGUAAAGUCACAAUCCUGAGUUACUCACAGACCAAACACACACACAACAUUACAUUUGAACCACUAAAUCACACUUAUCUAUCACACAAUGGCGACCUCUCUCUCCGUCUCCAGACUCAUCUCUUCAUCCGCCAUCUCCGUCGCCAAACCGCUACUCUCCCCAACCUCCGCCUUCACCGCCCCAAUCUCCUUCUCCCGCUCCCUCGCUCCCAACCUCUCCUUCAAAUCCCACAGCCGCCGCUCCUCCAUCUCCGCCGUCAGAUCCUUCUCAACAACCACCAUCUCCGCCUCCAUCUCCGUCGGAGACAAACUCCCCGACUCUACCCUCUCCUACCUCGAUCCCGCCACCAACGAUGUCAAAACAGUCACCGUCUCCUCCCUAACCGCCGGGAAGAAAACCAUCCUCUUCGCCGUCCCGGGCGCCUUCACUCCGACCUGC